RNAcentral lists this ribosomal RNA (690 nucleotides) under Triticum aestivum (bread wheat). Its description in RNAcentral is "partial small subunit ribosomal RNA". The record is from RNAcentral. Lineage: Eukaryota; Viridiplantae; Streptophyta; Magnoliopsida; Poales; Poaceae.
AUGUCCUUGAUAGCCACAGAGGUCAGCAUCUCCGUCUUCGCUCCAAUGGUGGAGAAGGUUUCCUGGCACUGCUGCUACAGGGCAGGGUCUGUUACCUUUGGUCUCUGGGAGCUUGAGCAGCUGACGCUGGAGACGUCAGAGAGCCAAGGACAGCUCUCUUCGCUGCAGAUUCAUGCCUCCAUAUUCCGGUCAAAUUUCCCCGGCGGGGCGAUCAACUUCAUGCAAGAGAUAGCGAAGCAUAUGGUUGCUGCCUUCUCCGCUCUAGAGCUUCAUCUCAAAACAGUCGGGCAUGUUUUUGGAGCAAUCGUGUUCCUUCUCCUUGGAAUGAAUCGAAUUCGAGCAGCUGUGCGGAGGCUUAAGCUCAUCCUAUGGAGAACAAAGGUGAGAGAAGGAUGCCUACCAAAUUGUCCAUGUCAGCCCACUGACUGGAGAUCCCAAACUGUCUCCUUCACUCAUCUUGAAGAAGUGGAAAUCACUGGCUUUGAAGGGGUGGGUCAUGAGUUUGAUUUCUUAAAAUUGAUGCUCAGAUGUUCGCCGGCACUUAAAAAAAUGACUUUGAAGCUGUCACGUGAUGUGUGGUCGAGGAAAGAUGGAUGCACAAUAAUAAACAACAUCUUCAAAGAGUAUCCUUCCGUGCAAUGCUAUAUUUAUCUUUCCUAUGGUAAGUGUAUGUUCAGCGUGCUCUGUUAA